This 497-nucleotide ribosomal RNA is filed under the name uncultured bacterium. RNAcentral describes it as "partial 16S ribosomal RNA". It matches the Rfam family "Bacterial small subunit ribosomal RNA", at positions 28 to 507 of the family's 1533-position model. The record is from RNAcentral.
GACGAACGCUGGCGGCGUGCCUAAUACAUGCAAGUAGAACGCUGAAGAGAGGAGCUUGCUCUUCUUGGAUGAGUUGCGAACGGGUGAGUAACGCGUAGGUAACCUGCCUUGUAGCGGGGGAUAACUAUUGGAAACGAUAGCUAAUACCGCAUAACAAUGGAUGACACAUGUCAUUUAUUUGAAAGUGGCAAUUGCUCCACUACAAGAUGGACCUGCGUUGUAUUAGCUAGUAGGUGAGGUAAUGGCUCACCUAGGCGACGAUACAUAGCCGACCUGAGAGGGUGAUCGGCCAAACGGGGACUGAGAAACGGCCCAGACUCCUACGGGAGGCAGCAGUAGGGAAUCUUCGGCAAUGGGGGCAACCCUGACCGAGCAACGCCGCGUGAGUGAAGAAGGGUUUCGGAUCGUAAAGCUCUGUUGUAAGUCAAGAACGGGUGUGAGAGUGGAAAGUUCACACUGUGACGGUAGCUUACCAGAAAGGGACGGCUAACUACGUG